Molecule: ribosomal RNA, 855 nt
Filed under: Haemophilus influenzae
Lineage: Bacteria; Pseudomonadati; Pseudomonadota; Gammaproteobacteria; Pasteurellales; Pasteurellaceae
Description: bacterial SSU rRNA
Rfam family: Bacterial small subunit ribosomal RNA
Source: RNAcentral
GGUAGCAGGAGAAAGCUUGCUUUCUUGCUGACGAGUGGCGGACGGGUGAGUAAUGCUUGGGAAUCUGGCUUAUGGAGGGGGAUAACGACGGGAAACUGUCGCUAAUACCGCGUAUUAUCGGAAGAUGAAAGUGCGGGACUGAGAGGCCGCAUGCCAUAGGAUGAGCCCAAGUGGGAUUAGGUAGUUGGUGGGGUAAAUGCCUACCAAGCCUGCGAUCUCUAGCUGGUCUGAGAGGAUGACCAGCCACACUGGAACUGAGACACGGUCCAGACUCCUACGGGAGGCAGCAGUGGGGAAUAUUGCGCAAUGGGGGGAACCCUGACGCAGCCAUGCCGCGUGAAUGAAGAAGGCCUUCGGGUUGUAAAGUUCUUUCGGUAUUGAGGAAGGUUGAUGUGUUAAUAGCACAUCAAAUUGACGUUAAAUACAGAAGAAGCACCGGCUAACUCCGUGCCAGCAGCCGCGGUAAUACGGAGGGUGCGAGCGUUAAUCGGAAUAACUGGGCGUAAAGGGCACGCAGGCGGUUAUUUAAGUGAGGUGUGAAAGCCCUGGGCUUAACCUAGGAAUUGCAUUUCAGACUGGGUAACUAGAGUACUUUAGGGAGGGGUAGAAUUCCACGUGUAGCGGUGAAAUGCGUAGAGAUGUGGAGGAAUACCGAAGGCGAAGGCAGCCCCUUGGGAAUGUACUGACGCUCAUGUGCGAAAGCGUGUGGAGCAGACAGGAUUAGAUACUCUGGUAGUCCACGCUGUAAACGCUGUCGAUCUGGGGGUUGGGGUUUAACUCUGGCGCCCGUAGCUAACGUGAUACAUCGACCGCCUGGGGAGUACGGCCGCAAGGUUAGAACUCAAAUGAAUUGAC